CCCUUAGAUGUUCUGGGCCGCACGCGCGCUACACUGAUGCAUUCAACGAGUCUAAAACCUGCUCUGAUAGGGGUGGGUAAUCUUUUGAAUGUGCAUCGUGAUUGGGAUAGAUGAUUGCAAUUUUUCAUCUUCAACGAGGAAUGCCUAGUAAACGCAAGUCAUCAGCUUGCAUUGAUUACGUCCCUGCCCUUUGUACACACCGCCCGUCGCUCCUACCGAUUGAAUGAUCCGAUGAAUAUCAUGGAUUGAGGAUGCAAGUAGGUUCGCCUAUCUUCAUCUUCGAGAAGAGAAGUAAAUCUUAUCAUUUAGAGGAAGGAGAAGUCGUAACA
Molecule: ribosomal RNA, 329 nt
Filed under: uncultured eukaryote
Lineage: Eukaryota
Description: partial 18S ribosomal RNA
Rfam family: Eukaryotic small subunit ribosomal RNA
Source: RNAcentral